GAGAGAAGAGAGAGAGAGAGAGAGAGAGAGAACUUGCUAGCACAAUAACAGUGGUGAGUUUUUUUUCGUUCGAGGUGCGUUGAUGGUGUGUCUGAACUAGAGGCUCAACAUUUGUGGAGCUCGAACUGAAAAACAUUUGAAUCUAGUUGUUUGAGAGUUGUGGAUUCACAUGCCGCUUUCUCCUUGAGCAGCUAUUUGUCUUGUAGACAUCAUUGAUGGCUGGAUAUAGUUCAGAUGACGGUGAUUACUAUUCGGAUGGUGUUUGGGGAGAGGAAGACGGUGGUGGCUAUUAUGUAGAUGAUCACUCAGCGCAGCAAGAGUUCAGUGAUGAGGACAAUAUUAGUGAAUCCUGUGAAGGGACCGGCAGGUAAGACAACCAUGAAGAGCAGGAUGAUGAUGAGGGGUUUCAUGUUGAAAAUGAAGGAACGGAGUCGGUGGAAUUGGAUGAUCAACCAGGACAUCAAGUCGGGGGCUAUGGGAUGCCAGGAAACGUGAUUGUGAAUCCGGGCCAGGAUGGACCGCAACAAACUAUGACUGGAAGCAUUGGGAAGCAAUCGGGAGUCAAUAGAGGGCGACAUCCCGUGACUAGCUAUGAAUGGAGUUUGAGGACCAGGCAUCAGGAUAAGCAAACAGGGGACUAUGCGCGCGCGACUGUGAAGCAUACGUUCGCCAGUGGCGAUACAAUCAAGGAGAGGUCCAAGGGGAGAGUCGGAUUCAAGGAGAGCCUAUAUGAACUCGGAGAACCGAGGCGUUUGUUAUUUGAUCUCUCUUGUUGAUUACCCUUGCCUUUUGGAGUAAUGGAUCAUCAGCGCGUUUCUCUCUGUUCGUGGUGAUACAAUCAUAGAGACAAAGAUUUUUUUUUUUCUGAAAUUCCGAUCCUGAACAUGGAAA
Eucalyptus grandis is the source of this 891-nucleotide long non-coding RNA. RefSeq lists it as uncharacterized. The record is from RefSeq and is a predicted model, not a curated record. The transcript is spliced from 3 exons. Lineage: Eukaryota; Viridiplantae; Streptophyta; Magnoliopsida; Myrtales; Myrtaceae.